CCUACGGGGCGCAGCAGUGGGGAAUAUUGCACAAUGGGGGAAACCCUGAUGCAGCGACGCCGCGUGAGUGAAGAAGUAAUUCGUUAUGUAAAGCCCUUUCAGCAGGGAAGAAAAUGACGGUACCUGAGUAAGAAGCCCCGGCUAACUACGUGCCAGCAGCCGCGGUAAUACGCAGGGGGCCAGCGUGAUCCGGAUUUACUGGGGGUAAAGGAAGCGUAGACGGCAGUGCAAGUCGGGAGUGAAAGGCGGGGGGUCAACCCCCGGACUGCUCUGGAAACUGUACGGCUGGAGUGCAGGAGAGGGAAGCGGAAUGCGUGGUGUAGCGGUGAAAUGCGUAGAUAUUAGGAGGAACACCAGUGGCGAAGGCGGCUUACUGGACUGUAACUGACGUUGAGGCACGAAAGCGUGGGGAGCGAACAGGAUUAGAUACCCGAGUAGUC
Molecule: ribosomal RNA, 440 nt
Filed under: uncultured bacterium
Lineage: Bacteria
Description: partial 16S ribosomal RNA
Rfam family: Bacterial small subunit ribosomal RNA
Source: RNAcentral